Molecule: ribosomal RNA, 435 nt
Filed under: uncultured bacterium
Lineage: Bacteria
Description: partial 16S ribosomal RNA
Rfam family: Bacterial small subunit ribosomal RNA
Source: RNAcentral
AGCGAACGCUGGCGGCAGGCUUAACACAUGCAAGUCGAGCGGGCGUAGCAAUACGUCAGCGGCAGACGGGUGAGUAACGCGUGGGAACGUACCUUUUGGUUCGGAACAACACAGGGAAACUUGUGCUAAUACCGGAUAAGCCCUUACGGGGAAAGAUUUAUCGCCGAAAGAUCGGCCCGCGUCUGAUUAGCUAGUUGGUGAGGUAACGGCUCACCAAGGCGACGAUCAGUAGCUGGUCUGAGAGGAUGAUCAGCCACAUUGGGACUGAGACACGGCCCAAACUCCUACGGGAGGCAGCAGUGGGGAAUAUUGGACAAUGGGGGCAACCCUGAUCCAGCCAUGCCGCGUGAGUGAUGAAGGCCCUAGGGUUGUAAAGCUCUUUUGUGCGGGAAGAUAAUGACGUUACCGCAAGAAUAAGCCCCGGCUAACUUCGUG